This 113-nucleotide ribosomal RNA is filed under the name uncultured bacterium. RNAcentral's name for it is "partial 16S ribosomal RNA". It matches the Rfam family "Bacterial small subunit ribosomal RNA", at positions 1372 to 1482 of the family's 1533-position model. The record is from RNAcentral.
CCCCGGGUCUUGUACACACCGCCCCGUCACACCAUGGGAGUGGGGUUUUGCCAGAAGUAGUUAGCCUAACCGUAAGGAGGGCGAUUACCACGGCAGGGUUCAUGACUGGGGUG